This 369-nucleotide ribosomal RNA is filed under the name uncultured organism. RNAcentral's name for it is "partial 16S ribosomal RNA". It matches the Rfam family "Bacterial small subunit ribosomal RNA", at positions 527 to 896 of the family's 1533-position model. The record is from RNAcentral.
AGAGGGUGCGAGCGUUAAUCGGAAUUACUGGGCGUAAAGGGCGCGUAGGUGGUCAGGCGAGUUGGCUGUGAAAUACCCAGGCUUAACCUGGGCAGGUCAGCCAAGACAGCUUGACUAGAGGACAGGAGAGGGUAGUGGAAUUUCCGGUGUAGCGGUGAAAUGCGUAGAUAUCGGAAGGAACACCAGUGGCGAAGGCGACUACCUGGCCUGUAACUGACACUGAGGCGCGAAAGCGUGGGGAGCGAACAGGAUUAGAUACCCUGGUAGUCCACGCUGUAAACGAUGACAACUAGCCCGUUGGUUUCGAGAGGAAUCAGUGGCGCAGGAAACGCGAUAAGUUGUCCGCCUGGGAGUACGACCGCAAGGUUA